RNAcentral lists this ribosomal RNA (307 nucleotides) under uncultured bacterium. RNAcentral describes it as "bacterial SSU rRNA". It matches the Rfam family "Bacterial small subunit ribosomal RNA", at positions 28 to 334 of the family's 1533-position model. The record is from RNAcentral.
GACGAACGCUGGCGGCGUGCUUAACACAUGCAAGUCGAGCGAUGAAGCUUCUUCGGAAGUGGAUUAGCGGCGGACGGGUGAGUAACACGUGGGUAACCUGCCUUGUAGAGAGGAAUAGCCAUUCGAAAGGAUGAUUAAUACCUCAUAAUAUUGUAGCUUCGCAUGGAGCAACAAUCAAAGGAGCAAUCCGCUACAAGAUGGACCCGCGGCGCAUUAGCUAGUUGGUGAGGUAACGGCUCACCAAGGCGACGAUGCGUAGCCGACCUGAGAGGGUGAUCGGCCACAUUGGGACUGAGACACGGCCCAG